UACGGAGGGUGCGAGCGUUGUUCGGAAUUAUUGGGCGUAAAGCGCGUGUAGGCGGCUCCUUAAGUCUGAUGUGAAAGCCCCGGGCUCAACCUGGGAAGUGCAUUGGAAACUGGGGAACUUGAAUACGGGAGAGGGUAGUGGAAUUCCUGGUGUAGGAGUGAAAUCCGUAGAUAUCAGGAGGAACACCGGUGGCGAAGGCGGCUACCUGGACCGAUAUUGACGCUGAGACGCGAAAGCGUGGGGAGCAAACAGG
RNAcentral lists this ribosomal RNA (253 nucleotides) under uncultured bacterium. RNAcentral's name for it is "partial 16S ribosomal RNA". It matches the Rfam family "Bacterial small subunit ribosomal RNA", at positions 524 to 776 of the family's 1533-position model. The record is from RNAcentral. RNAcentral also lists the same sequence under 1 other name.